CAGCAGCGUUAUCCCGGGUCCGCCUGCCUGAGCGCUGUCUGCCCGUCAGCCGCGCUCCCCGCCCGCCCGACUCCACCGCAGCUCUGCGCUCCGCUCCUGCAGCAGACCCUGCUGGCUCUGUGAGAGCUGGGCUUUCGGCUUUCUGACACUUUUAAAAAGGAUUUUUAUUUGCAGGUAAUACAUGGACUUUACCAUCACCUAAACUUUAAAGAAUGUUGCAGUGGAUGAAUGUCUGAAGUCUCCCAGACAUCACUGUGCAGACACACUGUGGCGUAUCUCUUCACAGGAAUAUAGUGCAGUCAUAUUCAGCUUCUGGUUUUUGCUUUCAGUCUUAUUCUCAGUAAGUGAAAUGCAUGCUCAGGGACCACACACAUCCAGUCAAUAACAUUCUGCUCCUAUGUGUUCAGUAGUAUUUUUGUAGUUAUUGUUAUUUGGUUUAGUGCUUCUGAAAGUGCGUCUGGACUCGCAAAUUCAUCCUGUGAUGAGUGAAGAAAAGGGAAGCGCCAUUGACCGAUCAUAAGUACGCUGUUUUAUGCAUUUAAUGCAUUCCUCAUUGCAUUUUUCUGAUAAAGGGUUAUAGUUUCUAUAGCUAUAGUUUUAUUAUAGUCUAUAAGAUGUGUACGUCUACGAUGCUAUUACUG
RNAcentral lists this long non-coding RNA (641 nucleotides) under Astyanax mexicanus (Mexican tetra). RNAcentral describes it as "lncRNA (ENSAMXG00005015866.1)". The record is from RNAcentral. Lineage: Eukaryota; Metazoa; Chordata; Actinopteri; Characiformes; Acestrorhamphidae.